GAUGAACGCUGGCGGCGUGCCUAAUGCAUGCAAGUCGAGCGAACGGACGAGAAGCUUGCUUCUCUGAUGUUAGCGGCGGACGGGUGAGUAACACGUGGAUAACCUACCUAUAAGACUGGGAUAACUUCGGGAAACCGUAGCUAAUACCGGAUAAUAUUUUGAACCGCAUGGUUCAAAAGUGAAAGACGGUCUUGCUGUCACUUAUAGAUGGAUCCGCGCUGCAUUAGCUAGUUGGUAAGGUAACGGCUUACCAAGGCAACGAUGCAUAGCCGACCUGAGAGAGUGAUCGGCCACACUGGAACUGAGACACGGUCCAGACUCCUACGGGAGGCAGCAGUAGGGAAUCUUCCGCAAUGGGCGAAAGCCUGACGGAGCAACGCCGCGUGAGUGAUGAAGGUCUUCGGAUCGUAAAACUCUGUUAUUAGGGAAGAACAUAUGUGUAAGUAACUGUGCACAUCUUGACGGUACCUAAUCAGAAAGCCACGGCUAACUACGUG
This 497-nucleotide ribosomal RNA is filed under the name uncultured bacterium. RNAcentral describes it as "partial 16S ribosomal RNA". It matches the Rfam family "Bacterial small subunit ribosomal RNA", at positions 28 to 507 of the family's 1533-position model. The record is from RNAcentral.